Molecule: unclassified non-coding RNA, 2109 nt
Filed under: Leishmania donovani
Lineage: Eukaryota; Euglenozoa; Kinetoplastea; Trypanosomatida; Trypanosomatidae
Description: gene:LdHU3.32.2300(CDS-product:coatomer_subunit_e psilon)
Source: RNAcentral
AAAAAUCAAGCAAACGGCCGUUCAUAUCAGCGUCUUAUAGAAGAAGAGAUUCCAGGCCCCUCCUCCUCCAAAAAAAGUAAGAUUUCCAUACUGCCGGCGGCGGCCCUCCUCCUCUGCUGCUGUCCAAUCAUUGUGUUCCUUUCCCGCUCUUUCUUUUUUUUUGGCGCUCUCGUGCACGUCGGCAGAUCCCGAAGCUCGCUCAUUUGCCAGGUGCUGACCCUCCCCCUUGAGAAAAAAAACGAAAAAACCGAGAACCGCAAACCACCCCCGGCAGGCGAGCAAGCUGCAGCGAGCAAAGGUAGCUACCAAAGUCUCACCGCGGGCUUCCGCAAGCACAGGGCUCAGCCAAAUGACAGACGUCCUCUUUGACGUGCGCAACGCCCUCGUGGUGGGCAACUACCAUCAGGCGAUCGCUGAUGGGAGCACUGCACGCGCUCUGUCAAGCCGGCCGGCUGAUGUGGCCGCCUUCAACGCGGAGAAGAACGCGGUGGUCGCGCUGGGUCAGAUUGGUCUCGGCCAAGUCGACGCCGUUAUCAGUCAGCUGCGCUCGGAGAGCAACCCGCUGCUCGUGACAAUUCGCACGUGGGCAGAGCUCAUUUGCGCUACGCGCGACUACGGUGUCCUCUCCGAUCCGGCCACGAACGUCACGCAGCGUCUGCAAAGCGAUGCGGAGAAUGUGGCGGCGGACGCUGUCUACAAGGCUGUAUUCGCUACCACAGCCCUGCUUUACCAGCAAGACGUCAUCGGGGCGCUGACGCUGGCAAAGAAGUGGCUCGGCGAGUUGCCCACUCCGGAGGGGGCGCUGGUCAGGCGCUACACGGUGGAGCUGCACGGUGUGGCGGCAGAGGCGCUGCUGCGGCUGAAUCGACCAGAUGAGGCGGCGAAAGAGGUAAAGCGCAUGGAGCAGGUGGACAGCGAGGCGAUCGUGACCAUACUGUACAGCGGCAUUGUUUCCCUCCAUCAGGCCGCAUCUGACGUGCACGUGGCCAACUAUAACGCGGCCGUAUCCGCCUUCAAGGAGGUGCAGCUGCGGUGUGGGCAGAGCAUCAUGGUGUCGAACUUGAUGGCCCUGGCGCACAUGGGUCUCAAGGACUACGACGCGGCUGAGCGCUCGCUGCUCGACGCGCUAGCCGUCCGCUCCAACGAUGAGGCCACACUGGUGAACCUCGCCGCCGUCAGUGCCCACAAAGCGAAGUCCCUCGACGACGCCGAGCGCUACAUCCAGCAGGCGGCCUCGAUGCAUGGUACGUGGGGCCAGGCCUACCACGCCAAGGAGCGGAACCUCGACGAAGAUAUUAGCGCUUUCAUGUUGGAGGAGUAGCUGCACACGGACAUCGGCUCUCAGGCAGCGCUGUGACCAAGGACGCUGGUACUAUAAGGAGUCCCCUUGCGCGCGCCAUAGUAGGCGACCGUGCACACGCGCGGCUCUCGUUGUCAAGCGAGUGCGACGCGCGUCCUACCGACUUGGUUGCUAGUGGCGAGGCGGGGCGAGGAAGGGAGGCAUGUGCGCACCCUGGGCCAUUACACGUGCGCACACCCUGCUCGUCGUGGGGCGAGAGCGGAGCAGUUGCUGUAGGGUAGCAUCGGUGUCUGCUCACGGCUGACGGGACAUGAAAGCAAAAACAUCAAGGCAACGGGGCCACCUUUCUGCCUUGUUUCACUCCGCCGUCUCCUUCAUUCACCGCGCCUUCGAGCUCACCAACGUAUCCGUCAUGUCCCGUGGAGAAGAGAUUGUCCUCGGUGUUUGCCCUCUUGCCGAGGCCCUUCUUUGUCGGGCACGUUUUUUUUUUUCCUCUGCGCGCUGUCCUUGUGUGUGUGUUGUUUUUGUGUUGUUCUGUUGUGGUGUAGCCUUGGCGUGUUUGCGUGCGUGUGCGUCGACGACUGCCUCGAAAUCCUGUGGAGAGAGGAAAGUAUCGGGGUGGCGAAGGAAACAGCAGUGGUGUCUGUGCUCGGCAGGCUUUUUGUGCUGGUUUCUCUUGAGGGGUACCGCGCGCUCCUCUUCUACGCUUUACCCCACCUCACUGGCGCUUCGCCCUCUUCCCCUGUGCCAAACCAACGUUGAAGUUUGCCAUCUGUGCGUUCUCCACGGUGUGCUGUGUUUCGGAAAAU